Molecule: long non-coding RNA, 134 nt
Filed under: Ictidomys tridecemlineatus (thirteen-lined ground squirrel)
Lineage: Eukaryota; Metazoa; Chordata; Mammalia; Rodentia; Sciuridae
Description: lncRNA (ENSSTOG00000029525.1)
Source: RNAcentral
UUAUAAAAUUUUGAAGUUUGUCUUUAAAGUCUGAGUGAAGUGUCCAGCUCUUACAAUGGAAAGCCAGGGAUUUUCACAUCUAUUGCAAAACGCUCUAAGUUAAAAACAAAACUCCUGGUGUUACUGUGACUAUA